UGGGGCAAGUAAUUAAUAAAUAUAAAUCAUCAAUUAUUUUCAGCUCAAAUAAUGAUCAUCUCAAUAAAAACUAAAAUUCAAAUAAAGUUUAGGCUGGUAAGUCUAACCUAAUGUUGGGGACCACCUACCGUGAUGGGAAAAAUGUGUAUUCCGGAUGCAAAUAAACACAUCUACAACCUCUCACAUCCACUCCAUGCGACAAAAAUUGAAGCCCACCAAUUAACUGCUUAGUUUUUACCUUCUGUUAGUGUGGACCUGCAAUAGAUAAAUGUGAGGGGCUAAAGAUGUUUCUUUACCUCCGGUAUGCACAGAAAAUUUUUCCCCUGAUAUAACACUGGAUAGCGCUGCAACAGCAGCGGCUCUUUGAGACCCUUGGCCUGAAUGAGAUUGUGUCUGUGUGCUGCUGGGUUUUGUCGAUGUAUUAAUGGCAGAGGACAAGGCAGCCAUUGCUGAAGCACUCUAAGUAUGCUCGCUGUCACCUGAGCUUGUGCACCUCCCAUCUGCCUGAAAAAAAAACCCACAUGACCUGGUGGUUAGCUGCUAAGAAAAAUUGAGAAGGGAGUUGUUACUGUUUUUUGAAACCGAGGGAAGGCAACUAUUUAGCAGUACUUGUUUUCCUUCAUAUGAUGGAUUUAGUGCAGAUGAAAGAGCUGCCAAUAGAGAUGAAAACGGUCGAAAAUGAUCGAAAAAACACUCGUAUUGAUUUUGGUUUCGUUUUAUAACAACGGUACGAAAACGAAAAUGUUACGGUCGAUAUACGGGAUCGAAAUUUCCGGUCAUUCGAAAACAGAAAAGUCGAAACGAAAAUAUGUCGAAAACGAUCGAAAUAUGAUAAACUUGUCGGUAAUUGACAAAACAAACAACAGACUGAAUUACUGAAUCCAAACAUUAAUAUAUAUAUAUAUAUAUAUAUAUAUAUAUAUAUAUUAAUUUCACAGUAGUCAAACAUUAAACCGUAGUGACAUUAUUUGAAUGGAAAAUUAUAUAUAUACUCGUGUCUGUAUGUCACACUCACAUACACGCAUACUGGUCGGUGGUGUAUUGGGUUGGUUGUAGGCUUUUGCUUUGGGGUGGGCUGCACGUUGGAGCUGAGGCCCGAGGCUAAUGUAUGGACUGGGGCAUUGGGAGUGGGAAGGCUAAAGACCGCUCAACCGCUCAAGGCUGCAGGUUGGGCUCAAAACCGGAUUGCUAAAAUGGUAUGAAAAACGAUACUUUCCCAAAACAAAACGGUAACCGUAAAAAUGAACGAAAAAUCAGUUAAAUCUUUUUCAAUACCGUUCUCAAAUACAAUCUGCUCGUUUUCGUUCCGAAACCGAAAAAUACCCAAAGUAAACGAAAACGGUCAGAAAAAAUGGUAUUCGGAAUAGGACGGGAUGAGAUUUUCUCAUACCGUUUUCAUCCCUAGCUGCCCAGGCUGAUGCCGUCGAGUAGGGAUGAAAGCGGUAAUCUGAACUGUUAGAACAAAUUUAAUAUUUUAAAAUAGAUAUGCAUAAAAUUUAUGUUGAUCUUUUCUUAUGUUAUUAAACACAUUAAUACACAUAUGAAUAAAAUAUUACACAAAUUGUUUUAUGUAUUAUUUGCUCCCUACAACACGAAACGUUGAAAAAGUUACCGAAUUUAUUUCUGAAUCCAUACCGAAGUUUAUAUCUAUUAUUUGAGAAAAUAUAGGAUGAAUUUGAGAUUUACCUUUUAUGAAUCUUUACAAGGUGGAUGUUAAAAAUAAGAAUACAAAUUUGUAUUGUAGAUUAUAUAUCCUAUUUAUUCGCAAUCAAUGAAAACGACUAAAAAACUGAUUACCGAAUAAAUAUCGUUUCCGACCGUUUUCAUCCCUACGUCGAGGGAAGGCGAGAAGAGGAAGUAGGGUUUGCUGGCUUCUCGGCGUUUCUACUUUUUCCAUGCAGAGUGAGGAUGGGAGGGAGUAGACUCAACGACAUGGGAGGGAGCAGACUUAACCCGAUUUGAUAGAAACCCGAUACAAACCCUCAGGUCCGUGACGCUGGCUUCUUCCCUGCCAUGCGUCAGCACCAACAUGAAGGGUUAGUUUUGUAGACACAAAACCGAAGUGGAUUGGAGGGGCUAAAAUCCCCCUCCUUAUUCAAUUUUGAAUAAGGAGACGAUUUUAGCUCCUCUAAUCCUCUCCAGUUUUUAGACUCUCAAACUAGUCCAAGAGAAGGUCAUGAAGCGCCGAAAGUCCUCCAACCCCCCCGCGACUUUUAAUAAACGGGAAUACUCAACACGCAGACAUCGUCAGUUAAUGUAAAGGUUGUUUGUUUCAUUGCAGGAUUAUAUAAUCCAAUUUAUAUGAUCGUAUUAGAGAUGUUUGUUUACACAUACUAUUAGUGUGUAAAAUGCUAAACAAUAAUCGAAAAUAAACAUCUAACAGUUUGCUUAUGCAUUAUCAUAAACUAGGUAUCUAUAAUUAUAUAAUGCACUUUGAUAUGGGUUGUUUGUUUCAGUGGCGGACGCAGAAUAAAAUUCUAGGUGGGGCCGACAGUACAAGAGACAAAUCACUAGACUAGAUCACCUGAUAAAUGUAGAUUAAUGAUAAUAACAUGAAUGUUAAAUGAUAAUGUCUAGUGUUUCCAAAAUAAUAUGAAUACCAAAAAACCAUUUUGGCUACCUAAAGGAGAGCUAGAGAGAGAAAAUAGGUGGACUGGCUGAGGACGAGGCGUUGAGACGGAACGUCGGAGCAGCUGCAUCGGCGUGUCGUUGUGGCGAGUCAUCGAAUUUGACGUGAGAUGACGUCGGUGAGACGACGACGGGUGGGAGGAGCGAGUGCAGGAGGCGAGGUAGCGGCGGAUGACGGUAACGACAAGCGACAACCAUUGUCGUGUUGCGACGGCGCGGUGGGACCCUAAUAAGUUAGCAAUGUUAGGUGACGCCACGGUCCCACCAACAGCUUGCACAUCUGCUGGUGCGGACUAGGAGGCAAAGUAUGAGCGUUGUGUGCAGGAUCCUGAUGAGGCGACGAGUUGAUGAGUGAUGAGAAGGCAAGGUGGCGCUACAGUGGGCGGGUUAGGUCACCAACUUAAUGGUUGUCACACCCGGUUUCGGGGCACCAAGACCCGGGCGCGAACAUAAUCACCAGGUGUGCUGGGACCAGGUCUCACACAUAUGAUGAAUCAUGGCACAAGAUCGAAUGUCACAACUUUACUAUAUAAUAGGAAUUCUAUACAAAAUAAAUAAUUGCAUAUAAGGAGACAACGGUCCAGCAACCCAAAGUUGACUGGGAGACGACGACCUAGACCUCUCACGAACACAUCACAGCAUCCUCCAAGCGCCUCAUCCAGCGGUACCUGUUCUUGACCUGUGGGGGGUGUGAGACAGCAAGAGUGAGCUCACAUACGUUCAUCGCUCAACAAGUUGUGGGGAAUAAUGUGCAUGAACUCGCCAAAGGUGGGAGCUCACGUGAAGUGUAAGGCUUACCAAAGAGGAUGGUUAGAGCUGAGCAUUGCUUUUAAAGUUGGUCAAAAUUUUAUUAGCAAUUACUAAGUAUAAGUAAAUACCAACCCAAUUAAGUAGUAGAACAAAAGUAACAACAUCACCUGCGAUGCAAUGCAUAUGACAAAUUGAAUUUAAGUUUCAUAAUUUAAUCAUCAGAGAGUCCUGAGCUGCUCAUGACCGUGAGCUCGGCUAGUAUACCAGUUUUACACUCUGCAGAGGUGGUACCCUUUACCCACAAGUCAUGUUACCCAUCUGCCAAGGGAUCGCGACUUCCCAUACACCUCUACCGAGGAGACGAGGCAGGGUAACACUACGAGGCCUUUACAAAGUUCCACUAGCUUCAGAAAACCCGCUACAGUUUAUAGGAAGCUCCAAUGCAGGGUUCUUGCCCGACCGCCAUCGCAGCAAAAUCAACCAAGGACCUCCCUACACUAACCACUCCCCUACUGCCCUUGCCCCUUUCGAGUAAGGUAGUCCUCCACUAGCUUUCCUAAUUAAUCAGCCAAGGGCGUCCAUAAACCCUUGUGGUGGCACGUGUUUCUCAAGUUAAGCUCUAUGUUCCAAUUAACAUUAAUGAUCUUAACAUGAACAUAAAUAGAAUAACAAAAUAACUGGAACAUAGACAUGAUAAAUAAUUAUCCCAAAUCCAUGUAAAGCAAUAGCAAACUACCCAAGUGAUUCAGGGGUAAACAAGGUAAUGAGAUAAACAAUCUAGGGUAACCUAUUGGGUCCCAUCAAAAUUAACAUAUGCAUGAAUAAAUGAUAUUAAAGAACAUUAUUGGGUAACAAAAGUGAAUCAAGGGCACAACUUGUCUGGGACUUGAGAUUUCAGGUACCAGGAUGAUCUUCAGGUGACUCGUGACCUCACGCUAGUCGUAGCAAUACAAAAAAACAGUGUAUAGACAAAAUUAACAUUACACCAAACAUAAGUACAAACUGAAUAAUAAUAAUCUACGUGUCGCUACGAGACUAACGCAACUUGAACGGAUCAAAUCGGAGUUAAAACGAAGCAUUUACGAAUUUCCUAAGGUUUUAUGUAUUUGAUACGAGAUUAAUUAAGAGAUAAAUUUUAAUACAGCUUUCAUGUCAAACCAGAGGUACUAUGUGAUAAACAAUAAUAUUAUAGAAUUAUAGGAAUUGGAAUGAAUCAAUUUGGACAUCAUAUGAAUUUUCUAUGAUUAAUACAAGUUCUAGCAUUUAGUUUUACACUAAAAAUCCAUUUCUAAUCUAAUUUCUCUGAUUUUCCAACUUUCUGGACUAGGCCUCAAUUACCUGAAAAGGCAGGGGCAUCGGGGUAACAUUUCUAAGACACAGGAAACAGUAGCCAUGGACUGCGGGUUCUAAUUUGCCUAAACCGAGGGGUUCUAGUGAAAUUGGGCCCGCGAAGGGGUAUCGUGAGAUUCUGGCCGUUCGAUCAGAAACUACAGGCUCCGAUUAGAUCACAAUUUUCUCCAAGCGGUACACCUCGCUAGCCGCCAGAUCUCGCAUCGACGGUUCUGAUUCCCUGAAACACUCGUCGCCCCGAACUCUAAUCCCAGUCGCCCAACUAAGAUCCAAUGGUUACAAACAUCUCCCCUUUCCCUACCAUCCGAGGCUGCUCACCCAGGAAUCAACGGCUAACACGCCGUCUUCUCCACGGCGCUAUCCGCCGCUGCGCACACCAGGCAGGCACAGCCCCGCCCACGGCCGCAGACGCCCCCACCGAUGCGCGCAGUAAUCACGCCACCACGUCAGACCUAGGUCGAGCGAUGGUGAUACCACGCCCCGCUACGCCGAGCCGAACGCCAACCCAGAUUAAGUCUAGCCGCUAAGGUGAGCUACGCCAGGAAGAAGAAUAAGGCGAGAACGUGGGGGUGUUCCUUACCGAGGGAUUGCGCGACGCAGGAGACCACAGCCGAAGUCUU
Molecule: long non-coding RNA, 5348 nt
Filed under: Zea mays
Lineage: Eukaryota; Viridiplantae; Streptophyta; Magnoliopsida; Poales; Poaceae
Description: long non-coding RNA (ZMAY_LNC002605)
Source: RNAcentral